ACGCUCGACACCUACGGGAGGCAGCAGUGAGGGAUAUUGGUCAAUGGGGGAAACCCUGAACCAGCAACGCCGCGUGAGGGAUGACGGUCUUCGGAUUGUAAACCUCUGUCCUCUGUGAAGAUAAUGACGGUAGCAGAGGAGGAAGCUCCGGCUAACUACGUGCCUGCAGCCGCGGUAAUCUGAGCGGGCGUGGCAAGGC
Molecule: ribosomal RNA, 199 nt
Filed under: uncultured bacterium
Lineage: Bacteria
Description: partial 16S ribosomal RNA
Rfam family: Bacterial small subunit ribosomal RNA
Source: RNAcentral